AUUGAACGCUGGCGGCAGGCCUAACACAUGCAAGUCGAGCGCGAAAAUUCCUUCGGGGAUGAGUAGAGCGGCGGACGGGUGAGUAAUGCGCAGAAAUCUGCCCAGUAGUGGGGGACAACCUGGUGAAAACCAGGCUAAUACCGCAUACGCCCUACGGGGAAGGGCAGGGGAGUCUUCGGACCUUGCGCUAUUGGAUGAGUCUGCGUCGGAUUAGCUUGUUGGUGAGGUAAUGGCUCACCAAGGCGACGAUCCGUAGCUGGUCUGAGAGGAUGAUCAGCCACACUGGGACUGAGACACGGCCCAGACUCCUACGGGAGGCAGCAGUGGGGAAUAUUGGACAAUGGGCGGAAGCCUGAUCCAGCCAUCCCGCGUGUAGGAAUAAGGCCCUAUGGGUUGUAAACUACUUUUAUUAGGGAAGAAAAACUUUAGAUUUAUCAGAGCUUGACGGUACCUAAGGAAUAAGCACCGGCUAACUCCGUGCCAGCAGCCGCGGU
This 494-nucleotide ribosomal RNA is filed under the name uncultured bacterium. Its description in RNAcentral is "bacterial SSU rRNA". It matches the Rfam family "Bacterial small subunit ribosomal RNA", at positions 30 to 521 of the family's 1533-position model. The record is from RNAcentral.